This 496-nucleotide ribosomal RNA is filed under the name uncultured bacterium. Its description in RNAcentral is "partial 16S ribosomal RNA". It matches the Rfam family "Bacterial small subunit ribosomal RNA", at positions 28 to 506 of the family's 1533-position model. The record is from RNAcentral.
GAUGAACGCUGGCGGCGUGCCUAAUACAUGCAAGUCGAGCGAACAGAUGAGGAGCUUGCUCCUCUGACGUUAGCGGCGGACGGGUGAGUAACACGUGGAUAACCUACCUAUAAGACUGGGAUAACUUCGGGAAACCGGAGCUAAUACCGGAUAAUAUAUUGAACCGCAUGGUUCAAUAGUGAAAGACGGUUUUGCUGUCACUUAUAGAUGGAUCCGCGCCGCAUUAGCUAGUUGGUAAGGUAACGGCUUACCAAGGCAACGAUGCGUAGCCGACCUGAGAGGGUGAUCGGCCACACUGGAACUGAGACACGGUCCAGACUCCUACGGGAGGCAGCAGUAGGGAAUCUUCCGCAAGGGGCGAAAGCCUGACGGAGCAACGCCGCGUGAGUGAUGAAGGUCUUCGGAUCGUAAAACUCUGUUAUUAGGGAAGAACAAAUGUGUAAGUAACUAUGCACGUCUUGACGGUACCUAAUCAGAAAGCCACGGCUAACUACGU